RNAcentral lists this ribosomal RNA (404 nucleotides) under uncultured bacterium. Its description in RNAcentral is "bacterial SSU rRNA". It matches the Rfam family "Bacterial small subunit ribosomal RNA", at positions 355 to 776 of the family's 1533-position model. The record is from RNAcentral.
UGGGGAAUAUUGCUCAAUGGGCGAAAGCCUGAAGCAGCGACGCCGCGUGAACGAAGAAGUCCUUCGGGAUGUAAAGUUCUUUCGACAGGGAAAAUAAUGAUGGUACCUGGAGAAGAAGGCCCGGCUAACUAUGUGCCAGCAGCCGCGGUAAUACAUAGGGGCCAAGCGUUAUCCGGAUUUAUUGGGCGUAAAGCGCGUGUAGGCGGUUGAUUAAGUCAGGUGUUAAAUUUGGAAGCUCAACUUCCAAUCGCAUUUGAAACUGGUCAGCUUCGAGUUUGGGAGAGGAUAGCGGAACUCACAGUGUAGCGGUGAAAUGCGUAGAUAUUGUGAGGAACACCAGUGGCGAAGGCGGCUAUCUGGAUCAAUACUGACGCUGAGACGCGAGAGCAUGGGGAGCAAACAGG